Molecule: ribosomal RNA, 649 nt
Filed under: uncultured bacterium
Lineage: Bacteria
Description: bacterial SSU rRNA
Rfam family: Bacterial small subunit ribosomal RNA
Source: RNAcentral
AGAGUUUGAUCCUGGCUCAGAUUGAACGCUGGCGGCAUGCCUAACACAUGCAAGUCGAACGGAAACGAUGGGAGCUUGCUCCCAGGCGUCGAGUGGCGGACGGGUGAGUAAUACUUAGGAAUCUGCCCAUUAGUGGGGGACAACUCGAGGAAACUCGAGCUAAUACCGCAUACGCCCUACGGGGGAAAGCGGGGGAUCUUCGGACCUCGCGCUAAUGGAUGAGCCUAAGUCGGAUUAGCUUGUUGGUGAGGUAAUGGCUCACCAAGGCGACGAUCCGUAGCUGGUCUGAGAGGACGAUCAGCCACACUGGGACUGAGACACGGCCCAGACUCCUACGGGAGGCAGCAGUGGGGAAUAUUGGACAAUGGGGGCAACCCUGAUCCAGCAAUGCCGCGUGUGUGAAGAAGGCCUGCGGGUUGUAAAGCACUUUCAGUAGAGAAGAAAAGCCUACGGUUAAUAACCGUGGGUCUUGACGUUACCUACAGAAGAAGCUCCGGCUAACUCCGUGCCAGCAGCCGCGGUAAUACGGAGGGAGCGAGCGUUAAUCGGAAUUACUGGGCGUAAAGCGCGCGUAGGCGGCUUUGUAAGUCGGAUGUGAAAGCCCUGGGCUCAACCUGGGAAUGGCAUUCGAUACUGCAGAGCUAGAGUA